AGCUUUGUGUAUGGGCGGCAUCUUAGCCAAUGAGGUUUAUGUGAGGCAUGAUUAUUGCUAACUGAAAACUUUUCCCAUUUAGA
RNAcentral lists this small nuclear RNA (83 nucleotides) under Octodon degus (degu). RNAcentral describes it as "U4 spliceosomal RNA (ENSODEG00000025712.1)". It matches the Rfam family "U4 spliceosomal RNA". Rfam says of the family: U4 small nuclear RNA (U4 snRNA) is a component of the major U2-dependent spliceosome. The record is from RNAcentral. Lineage: Eukaryota; Metazoa; Chordata; Mammalia; Rodentia; Octodontidae.